Molecule: ribosomal RNA, 253 nt
Filed under: uncultured bacterium
Lineage: Bacteria
Description: partial 16S ribosomal RNA
Rfam family: Bacterial small subunit ribosomal RNA
Source: RNAcentral
UACGUAGGGGGCAAGCGUUGUCCGGAAUCAUUGGGCGUAAAGAGCGUGUAGGCGGCCAGAUAAGUCCGCUGUGAAAUCUCGAGGCUCAACUUCGAGCUGUCGGUGGAAACUGUCUGGCUAGAGUCCGGAAGAGGAGAAUGGAAUUCCUGGUGUAGCGGUGAAAUGCGCAGAUAUCAGGAGGAACACCAGUAGCGAAGGCGGCUCGCUGGGCCGUUCCUGACGCUGAGACGCGAAAGCUAGGGGAGCGAACAGG